This 166-nucleotide small RNA is filed under the name Tursiops truncatus (common bottlenose dolphin). Its description in RNAcentral is "7SK RNA (ENSTTRG00000024829.1)". It matches the Rfam family "7SK RNA", at positions 109 to 265 of the family's 331-position model. From Rfam's summary of the family: 7SK was discovered as an abundant small nuclear RNA in the mid-70s but a possible function has only recently been suggested. The record is from RNAcentral. Lineage: Eukaryota; Metazoa; Chordata; Mammalia; Artiodactyla; Delphinidae.
UCCCUCACGGCCUCCUGCGCAUGCCCGGUGGAAGACGACGCCCUUCCCCCAUAGAGGAGGACCACGUUUCAGUCAGGGUUUAAAAGGAGCUUCGCUCCCCAGUCAGAACCUCCAAACACGCUCUCAAGGUCUUAUUACCUCUAGUCUGUAUGUAAGGAAACGGUGC